RNAcentral lists this ribosomal RNA (449 nucleotides) under uncultured bacterium. RNAcentral describes it as "bacterial SSU rRNA". It matches the Rfam family "Bacterial small subunit ribosomal RNA", at positions 331 to 794 of the family's 1533-position model. The record is from RNAcentral.
CCAGACUCCUACGGGAGGCAGCAGUGGGGAAUAUUGGGCAAUGGGCGCAAGCCUGACCCAGCAACGCCGCGUGAAGGAAGAAGGCUUUCGGGUUGUAAACUUCUUUUGUCAGGGACGAAGCAAGUGACGGUACCUGACGAAUAAGCCACGGCUAACUACGUGCCAGCAGCCGCGGUAAUACGUAGGUGGCAAGCGUUAUCCGGAUUUACUGGGUGUAAAGGGCGUGUAGGCGGGACUGCAAGUCAGAUGUGAAAACCACGGGCUCAACCUGUGGCCUGCAUUUGAAACUGUAGUUCUUGAGUACUGGAGAGGCAGACGGAAUUCCUAGUGUAGCGGUGAAAUGCGUAGAUAUUAGGAGGAACACCAGUGGCGAAGGCGGACUGCUGGACAGCAACUGACGCUGAGGCGCGAAAGCGUGGGGAGCAAACAGGAUUAGAUACCCCCGUAGU